RNAcentral lists this ribosomal RNA (505 nucleotides) under uncultured bacterium. Its description in RNAcentral is "SSU rRNA". It matches the Rfam family "Bacterial small subunit ribosomal RNA", at positions 26 to 518 of the family's 1533-position model. The record is from RNAcentral.
AGGACGAACGCUGGCGGCGCGCUUAACACAUGCAAGUCGAGCGAGAACCUGGCCUUCGGGCCUGGGGAAAGCGGCGAACGGGUGAGUAACACGUGGGUAACCCACCCUUGGUACCGGGAUAGCCCGAGGAAACUCGGAUUAAUACCGGAUGGCCCAACAGCUCUUCGGGGCGGUUGGAAAAGGUAGCUUCGGCCUCCGACCAAGGACGGGCCCGCGGCGGAUUAGCUUGUUGGUGAGGUAACGGCUCACCAAGGCGACGAUCCGUAGCUGGUCUGAGAGGACGAUCAGCCACACUGGGACUGAGACACGGCCCAGACUCCUACGGGAGGCAGCAGUGGGGAAUCUUGCGCAAUGGGCGAAAGCCUGACGCAGCAACGCCGCGUGCGGGAGGAAGGCCUUCGGGUCGUAAACCGCUUUCAGGGGGGACGAAGCCACCAGGGUUAAUAGCCCAUGGGGUGACGGUACCCCCAGAAGAAGCCCCGGCUAACUACGUGCCAGCAGCCGC